RNAcentral lists this ribosomal RNA (746 nucleotides) under Bacillus cereus. Its description in RNAcentral is "bacterial SSU rRNA". It matches the Rfam family "Bacterial small subunit ribosomal RNA", at positions 50 to 754 of the family's 1533-position model. Lineage: Bacteria; Bacillati; Bacillota; Bacilli; Caryophanales; Bacillaceae. The record is from RNAcentral.
AAUACAUGCAAGUCGAGCGAAUGGAUUAAGAGCUUGCUCUUAUGAAGGUUAGCGGCGCGACGGGUGAGUAACACGUGGGUAACCUGCCCAUAAGACUGGGAUAACUCCGGGAAACCGGGGCUAAUACCGGAUAACAUUUUGAACUGCAUGGUUCGAAAUUGAAAGGCGGCUUCGGCUGUCACUUAUGGAUGGACCCGCGUCGCAUUAGCUAGUUGGUGAGGUAACGGCUCACCAAGGCAACGAUGCGUAGCCGACCUGAGAGGGUGAUCGGCCACACUGGGACUGAGACACGGCCCAGACUCCUACGGGAGGCAGCAGUAGGGAAUCUUCCGCAAUGGACGAAAGUCUGACGGAGCAACGCCGCGUGAGUGAUGAAGGCUUUCGGGUCGUAAAACUCUGUUGUUAGGGAAGAACAAGUGCUAGUUGAAUAAGCUGGCACCUUGACGGUACCUAACCAGAAAGCCACGGCUAACUACGUGCCAGCAGCCGCGGUAAUACGUAGGUGGCAAGCGUUAUCCGGAAUUAUUGGGCGUAAAGCGCGCGCAGGUGGUUUCUUAAGUCUGAUGUGAAAGCCCACGGCUCAACCGUGGAGGGUCAUUGGAAACUGGGAGACUUGAGUGCCAGAAGAGGAAAGUGGAAUUUCCAUGUGGUAGCCGCGUGCAAAUUGCGCUAGAAGCAUAUUGGGAGGGGAAACACCCAGUGGGCGAAAGGGCGACCUUUCUGGUCUGUAACUGACACUGAGGCGC